ACUCCUACGGGAGGCAGCAGUGGGGAAUUUUGGACAAUGGGGGGAACCCUGAUCCAGCCAUGCCGCGUGCAGGAUGAAGGCCUUCGGGUUGUAAACUGCUUUUGUACGGAACGAAAAGGUCUUUUCUAAUAAAGAAGGCUGAUGACGGUACCGUAAGAAUAAGCACCGGCUAACUACGUGCCAGCAGCCGCGGUAAUACGUAGGGUGCGAGCGUUAAUCGGAAUUACUGGGCGUAAAGCGUGCGCAGGCGGUUAUGCAAGACAGAUGUGAAAUCCCCGGGCUCAACCUGGGAACUGCAUUAGUGACUGCAUAGCUAGAGUGCGGCAGAGGGGGAUGGAAUUCCGCGUGUAGCAGUGAAAUGCGUAGAUAUGCGGAGGAACACCGAUGGCGAAGGCAAUCCCCUGGGCCUGCACUGACGCUCAUGCACGAAAGCGUGGGGAGCAAACAGGAUUAGAUACCCUGGUAGUCCACGCCCUAAACGAUGUCAACUGGUUGUUGGGGAUUUACUUCCUCAGUAACGAAGCUAACGCGUGAAGU
Molecule: ribosomal RNA, 537 nt
Filed under: uncultured bacterium
Lineage: Bacteria
Description: bacterial SSU rRNA
Rfam family: Bacterial small subunit ribosomal RNA
Source: RNAcentral